AGGCAAACUACAGAGGAUGUUCAAGAAAAAGAAACCAGCGACAGGAAACCCAUUCUUACCAGGUCCUUCAAUGGAAACCUCAGAUGUCAGCAAUACCGAGGCAGGGCAACCAGAUGGAAAUCUAGGUUAUGUGGAUGAUAAGCACUUAUAUCUUUAUUGCCAAAGACAUGAGACUGGAAGGCGAACAACUAAUCCGCAGCCUGGGUCUCAGUUGGAGCAAGAUACAACAAAUAUGGAGUGAUAACAGACGAUUGCUGGAAUGCGUAAUAGAAAUGCUUACAGAAUGGAGAAAACAACAGGACUAUGAGACAAAUCAAGUUGAGAUAAUGUGCAGGGCUUUAAGAUAGCAGGGACUCACCGAGCUUGCUAACAAGGUCUUUGGCUCACAAACAUCAGAGGAUCAAUCAUCCCAUGUACAAGCAAGUACAGAUCAUCCUUGUGGAAGAUUACAUUGAAUGAACCAGCAACAUGAUGGUUGCUUGGCUGAUACUGACCUUAAGUUCAUUGCUGGAAGACUUGACAAUGACUGGAAACAUUUAAACACCUACCUUCAAAUGAAGAGCUAUGAAUAAAUCAAAUUGCAAGAAUAUUUUCAGGACACAUGCUUUGGAGACCAAAAUAGCAUUACAUCAUGACUAUAUAUGGGCACAUCAUGAUUAUAUAUAGGCACAUCAUGACUGUAUAUGGGCACAUCAUGACUACAUAUGGGCGCAUCAUGACUAUAUAUGGGCUCAUCAUGACUAUA
Molecule: long non-coding RNA, 745 nt
Organism: Anneissia japonica
Lineage: Eukaryota; Metazoa; Echinodermata; Crinoidea; Comatulida; Comatulidae
Exons: 4
Source: RefSeq, a predicted model, not a curated record